UGUUGCCCCAACGCAGACGUCGUAGGCUAAUCCACAUAUGUAGAUGUCUGUGGCACCUUUGUCCUGGAGUUGAGACGACAGUGUUGUCUCAGUCUUUGUGGAGUUCAGCGCCCCAGGAGUCCUGGACACAGUGACGUGGCCAGAGCCUUUGUUUCAGGGAGGGUGGACCCUUGAAGGUGACGGUAUCAUAAACCUUUGCUUCCUCCUGGGGUACAGGACUCGAUUCAUCCACUUCCCUGAAGAAGAUCAAUUAAAAUUUAAAUAAUUUCACAAAUAGAGAAAUAAAAAUCGGGGAGACUCAUUCAUUAAUAA
This is a long non-coding RNA of Fopius arisanus, 312 nucleotides long. RefSeq lists it as uncharacterized. NCBI's taxonomy places the organism in Eukaryota, Metazoa, Arthropoda, Insecta, Hymenoptera, Braconidae. The transcript is spliced from 2 exons. The record is from RefSeq and is a predicted model, not a curated record.